AAGUCGUAACAAGGUUUCCGUAGGUGAACCUGCGGAAGGAUCAUUACCGAGCGAGGGCCCUCUGGGUCCAACCUCCCACCCGUGUUUAUCGUACCUUGUUGCUUCGGCGGGCCCGCCUCACGGCCGCCGGGGGGCUUCUGCCCUCUGGCCCGCGCCCGCCGAAGACACCAUUGAACGCUGUCUGAAGAUUGCAGUCUGAGCAAUUAGCUAAAUAAGUUAAAACUUUCAACAACGGAUCUCUUGGUUCCG
This 249-nucleotide unclassified non-coding RNA is filed under the name Penicillium sp. RNAcentral describes it as "partial internal transcribed spacer region". The stretch from base 1 to 46 matches the Rfam family "Eukaryotic small subunit ribosomal RNA", at positions 1786 to 1831 of the family's 1831-position model. Lineage: Eukaryota; Fungi; Ascomycota; Eurotiomycetes; Eurotiales; Aspergillaceae. The record is from RNAcentral.